This 568-nucleotide long non-coding RNA is filed under the name Delphinapterus leucas (beluga whale). RNAcentral describes it as "lncRNA (ENSDLEG00000019122.1)". The record is from RNAcentral. Lineage: Eukaryota; Metazoa; Chordata; Mammalia; Artiodactyla; Monodontidae.
AUAUGGCCACUGAUGCACUGAGAAUAAAGGGACCUGUCCAAGGGAGGCAUCCAGAGCUAGAAGGUGAGCCCCAAUGGGGGCUCAGCCCCAGAGCGUCUGGGCCCUGCACCUAGGAGGCCGGGGAGCAGCCAGAGCCUUGUCACGUUCCCGGAAACAGCCAGCCUCCGUGGGGCAGCCUGGCCUCUGGUCCCUUUCUUGCUGGAAACCACCUCCUGGUGGACCUCCAGGCUGUCCACCUGAGACGACCAAGCAGGCAGAGGAAGAGGGGAAGACACAGAGCCUCUUGACCUGGAACUCCGAGGAACACCUGUUCCCUGCAUCACUUCAGACUGCAGCGCUGCUGAGAAAGAUCUCAUCUGUUCACAACCUACCCGCAAAAUACACAGGUAAGAAGCCAGGCCUGAAACAUCUUGUCUUUCAAUGCAGUGACAAUGGGUACAAAACCCAGGCAGUGACACAAGCAUUUUGCAGUGAGUUGCAAAAGGAAACACGAGAUGGAGAAAGCAAAAUAAAUAGAUUUGAAGGAUGGGCUAAGGAACUUAAAAGAGAGGUACGCUCCAGGGAAUAA